CAGUCGCCACGGUAAUACGAAGGGGGCUAGCGUUGCUCGGAAUCACUGGGCGUAAAGGGCGCGUAGGCGGACUCUUAAGUCGGGGGUGAAAGCCCAGGGCUCAACCCUGGAAUUGCCUUCGAUACUGGGAGCCUUGAGUUCGGAAGAGGUUGGUGGAACUGCGAGUGUAGAGGUGAAAUUCGUAGAUAUUCGCAAGAACACCAGUGGCGAGGGCGGCCAACUGGUCCGAUACUGACGCUGAGGUGCGAAAGCGUGGGGAGCAAACAGGAUUAGAUACCCCAGUAGUCCCUGUCUCUUAUAC
Molecule: ribosomal RNA, 301 nt
Filed under: uncultured bacterium
Lineage: Bacteria
Description: partial 16S ribosomal RNA
Rfam family: Bacterial small subunit ribosomal RNA
Source: RNAcentral